GGUACGUGAGCUGGGUUUAGAACGUCGUGAGACAGUUCGGUCCCUAUCUGGUGUGGGCGUUGGAUGAUUGAGGGGAGCUGCUCCUAGUACGAGAGGACCGGAGUGGACGAACCGCUGGUGUUCGGGUUGUUUUGCCAAAGGCAUUGCCCGGUAGCCAAGUUCGGAAUCGAUAACCGCUGAAAGCAUCUAAGCGGGAAGCGAGCCCCAAGAUGAGUCAUCCCUGCACGUAAGUGCUGGAAGGGUUGUUAUAGACUAUGACGUUGAUAGGCAGGGUGUGGAAGCGUUGCAAGGCGUUAAGCUAACCUGUACUAAUUGCCCGA
RNAcentral lists this ribosomal RNA (320 nucleotides) under Vaucheria litorea. RNAcentral's name for it is "partial Bacterial large subunit ribosomal RNA". It matches the Rfam family "Bacterial large subunit ribosomal RNA", at positions 2595 to 2912 of the family's 2925-position model. Lineage: Eukaryota; Xanthophyceae; Vaucheriales; Vaucheriaceae. The record is from RNAcentral.